RNAcentral lists this ribosomal RNA (444 nucleotides) under uncultured bacterium. RNAcentral describes it as "partial 16S ribosomal RNA". It matches the Rfam family "Bacterial small subunit ribosomal RNA", at positions 339 to 795 of the family's 1533-position model. The record is from RNAcentral.
CUACGGGGCGCAGCAGUGGGGAAUAUUGCACAAUGGGCGCAAGCCUGAUGCAGCAACGCCGCGUGAGGGAUGAAGGCCUUCGGGUUGUAAACCUCUUUUAGCAGGGAAGAAGCGAAAGUGACGGUACCUGCAGAAAAAGCACCGGCUAACUACGUGCCAGCAGCCGGGGUAAUACGUAGGGUGCAAGCGUUGUCCGGAAUUAUUGGGCGUAAAGAGCUCGUAGGCGGUUUGUCACGUCUGCUGUGAAAAUCCAAGGCUCAACCUUGGACUUGCAGUGGGUACGGGCAGGCUAGAGUGCGGUAGGGGAGAUGGGAAUUCCUGGUGUAGCGGUGGAAUGCGCAGAUAUCAGGAGGAACACCAAUGGCGAAGGCACAUCUCUGGGCCGUAACUGACGCUGAGGAGCGAAAGCGUGGGGAGCGAACAGGAUUAGAUACCCGAGUAGUC